RNAcentral lists this long non-coding RNA (362 nucleotides) under Elaeis guineensis (African oil palm). RNAcentral describes it as "long non-coding RNA (EGUI_LNC027753)". Lineage: Eukaryota; Viridiplantae; Streptophyta; Magnoliopsida; Arecales; Arecaceae. The record is from RNAcentral.
CUUCACUGAAGAACGCCAUCCCCAGUGAGGAUUUAUUUUACAGGUGUUCGAACGAAGCUCCAGCGAUGGUUUCAUCUCGGCUAUAUCAACUUUGGCGACCGACCUCAGAUGGAGAGAUCAACAGCAAUAAUGUGCAUAAUGGAGAGUUGAACCCAGAGAGAUGUAAUUGAAAUGAUGCAGGCAUACACAGCAGACAGCAGGUAGCGUUGAAGCAUUGUGAAUAAACAAAAUGGCGAAGAAGCAUCCAUGUCACAGUCAUGAUGACUUGAAGACUGUAGCAGUUGCCAUCAUGAGGAAGCGGAUCCAUAUGCAAGAGUACGCAGCAACAAGUGAAAACAUGUGCAUGGUAGCUGAUACACCAC